Long non-coding RNA from Pangasianodon hypophthalmus (striped catfish), 1940 nucleotides. RefSeq lists it as uncharacterized. The record is from RefSeq and is a predicted model, not a curated record. The transcript has 3 exons. NCBI's taxonomy places the organism in Eukaryota, Metazoa, Chordata, Actinopteri, Siluriformes, Pangasiidae.
AUGAUGGCCUCCUUCACUUGCAUCAACACCUCUUUGGACGGCAUAUUGAGAGUUCCCAUGAACAGCUACCAAAUGCAAAUUCAACACUUGGAAUCAGCUCCAGACCUUUUAUCUCCUUAAUUUAUCAUGAUAUAAGGAGGAAACAGGCCACAGCUGGCCAUGAAACUGCUUAUCAGUCAAUUGUCCCACUACUUUUGAGCCUGUGAAAAUGGAGGAACUCUGUAAAAAAUGGCUGUAAUUCCUAAACGGUUAAUGCAAUAUUUUUGUUAAACCCCUUGAAUUAAAGCUGAAAGUCUACGCUUCAGUCACAUCUUGACUGCUUCAUUUCAAAUCCACUGUGGUGGUGUACAGAGGCAAAAUUACCAAAACUGUGUCACUGUCCCAAUAUUUAUGGACCUGACUGUAUCUCCACCUUGGUCUCUUCAAUCCAAAGGAUAUUGUUCCAGAACUUUUGUAGUUUGCUCAAACUUUGCAAACCUAAGUCAUGCUGCCAUAUUCUUUUUGGAGAGAAGGGGCUUUUUCCUAGUGUGGCAAGGUGGGUGACAGUCUAUCCUUAUUGGCUCAUUGGUGUGUGAUUGUCACCCACAAUAGCCUAUUAGAAUCGGUGUUCGCGGGUAUUUAAGCCUGACGGUAUGUCAUUUGGCGUGCAUCAUAGCUAGGACCGCCCUCUUCCGGAUUUCAUCUGCACCUGUGUAGUGGUGUGUGAGUUUGGUUGUUUGUAGCUGUUCAGUUAAAUGGAGAAGUGGGCAUGUAUUUUAAAACAAAAGUUUCUUUUUCUCUCAGUGCGAUGAAUGGUCAUUCGAUGUUGCACUGGGUUGCCGGCUGUCCAUUUGCAUGUCAGCUGUGAGAUUUUUCUGGGGAUGUGUCUACCUGCUUGAGACUCUGUGUUUAUAAACUGUGGGCAACGGUACCACUCGUGUUGCACGACCUAUUUUGUGUGCCGCUCUGUCUCUCUCUUUUUCGGACGCCGUGCCGAUUGGUCAUGUGAGGACGCCGGAAUUCUUUUUAUUUUGCGUUCAGAGGACGGCGCUGCUGUUUUUCCUUAAACUGUUUUUCCUUAAACUGUUUUUCCUUAAAUUGUUUUUCCUUAAACUGUUUUUCCUUAAACUGUUUUUCUUGGUAUUACAAAUUGCUUUUUUUGAUGUUAUAAAUUGUUUUUCUUUUUGAAGGUGUAAAACUGUUUUUUUUAGAUGUUAUUUUUUGUCAGUUAUGUCUUGGUUAUAUUUUGUUUGUUUAUUGUUUUUCUUUUGUGCACUUGUGCUUGUGCUUGAAGAGUUUAGAUCUGCCUCUCUGAGGAUUACAACUUGAGGCCCUGUCAGGCCCUGGGGCUAGGAGGCUAGCUGUUUUUUGAGUGCUGGUGGUGGUUUAACCGUGUGGAGUGCAGUGUGGUUUGGAUUUAUUUUUCACUGUGUGUGUGUGUGUCUGUGUCUGUGUGUUCGUGGAAACCACCAGGGUGCGGUAAGGAUCUUAGUGUCAGCUAGCCUGCCUUUGCUGCUGGAAAGCCCGUGCCUGUUACUUGUGUAAUUUUCUUUUUUUGAGUGUUUGUUUUUUUGUUGUACCCAGAGCUGCUUUAUUCUGAUACAUUGUUCUGGAUUGUGAUUGACUUUCAGCACUGUUGCUGUUUUUUUAUUAUUUAUUAUAGAAAUCUGAAUAAAGUGUUUUGUACAUUGUUCCCAUGUUUCUCCUUGAAUUUGUGGCCAAACGAAUCUGUGUCCCUUAUUUGGGUUAUUCCCCGUUUCGAUACGGGGUGGCGUAGUCGGUUUGUUUAGUGGGGGGGGGGGGGGGUAUGUUGAGUUAUUCAUUUAUUCCCCUCCCUCCAUCUCAGCAUUGCCACACUAGCCACCCUUCCACGAAAGCUAUACUUGUUCGGUCAUUCUCUGAUUUUGCUGUCAUUAACCUAAACAUGUAAUAUGCUUAUAGAAGCCUGUAGGUCAUGUGAU